UACGGGGGGGGCAAGCGUUGUUCGGAAUUACUGGGCGGAAAGGGCUCGUAGGCGGCCAACUAAGUCAGACGUGAAAUCCCUCGGCUUAACCGGGGAACUGCGUCUGAUACUGGAUGGCUUGAGUUUGGGAGAGGGAUGCGGAAUUCCAGGUGUAGCGGUGAAAUGCGUAGAUAUCUGGAGGAACACCGGUGGCGAAGGCGGCAUCCUGGACCAACACUGACGCUGAGUGAGCGAAAGCCAGGGGAGCAAACGGG
Molecule: ribosomal RNA, 254 nt
Filed under: uncultured bacterium
Lineage: Bacteria
Description: partial 16S ribosomal RNA
Rfam family: Bacterial small subunit ribosomal RNA
Source: RNAcentral